Molecule: non-coding RNA, 2705 nt
Organism: Coffea arabica (coffee)
Lineage: Eukaryota; Viridiplantae; Streptophyta; Magnoliopsida; Gentianales; Rubiaceae
Source: RefSeq, a predicted model, not a curated record
CAUUCAUCUACAAAACAAAGCAAACGGGAAGAAGAUAGCAAUUUCAACAGUCAAAAAAAUCAUCUCAACCUAGAGAUUAAAACAAAAAAAGGAUUAUGGAAACCUCACACUGCUUCCUUCAUGAUGAUUUAUAAGUAGUGGUGGUUCUAGCAAGAAGAUAGCAACUCCGGCAAUGGUGAUGGCAGCAGCGAGCUCCUCUUGCUCCUCAGAUUCCCUCAAUGUAUUUGUUGGUUUUCUGUUUUUGGUUCUUUUCUUCUUUUCUUGGAAAGAAAAUGGAGUAUACAACUCUACAACUGAAAAAUUCCGCAAGAAUUUUGGAGAGAUUCUUAUGAGUUCAUAUGAAACUCAUGGUGAAAAAUGAAUGAUGACUAGUCAUGAGAGAGUUGAAGGACGAAAAUGGAUCGGUAGUGAUAAUUGAUGGUGUCUUUGCUAGCAGCCAUGAAUGGAGGAUAAAAAAAUCAGAACCAAACAAAAUGAGUUUGCCGGGUUUUUCCCAAAUGGAAUUUGACGAGUUUGAUGAUUACUCGGAGAAAACAGCGGAAAAUCCUGAGACGAGCAAUGGCGGUGAUCAAGUGGAUAAAUCUGGCGGAGGCCAAGACCCAAUUAAGAGGCCAAUGCAUAAAAGUGAUCAUCAUCAUCAUCAACGCGUUAAGCGUUCAAGGACGCGGGAAGAGUUCCAUGAAGACGAGGAGGAGAGGAGCUCAAGCUACCGUCUCCAUUCCCCUUCAAGAGAUAGAGAGAGGAGUGGGAGGGAGAGAUACAGGAGUAGCCGAGAAUCCAAGGACAGGGACAAGCAUAAGAGCAGCAAGAAGGAGAGAGAUGGGGACAAAAUCAAAGAAAGCGACAGAGAAAGAGAUACCAACAAAGGCGAAGAUAGCGGAAGGAGAGGUCGUGGCCGCGAAGAUGAAAGACAGAGAGGUAGGGAGAGAAAUCAAGACCUGUCGAAUCGUACAAGUCAUUCAGAAAGGCAUCUGGUUGAUGGAGAGAGAGAGGAGAGCCGAGACAGGGAGAAGAAUGGUGAUAGGGAGUAUGGAGGAAGGGAAAGACAGAGCCAGUUACAAGAAGGGGACCGAGAAAGCAGGAGAUUUAAAGAAAAAAAGGAAGAAGUGGCCGAGCCACAGGCUGAUCCUGAGCAUGAUCGACGGACAGUUUUUGCUUAUCAGAUUUCUUUGCAGGCAGAUGAAAGAGAUGUCUAUGAGUUUUUUAGCAGAGCUGGCAAGGUCAGAGAUGUACGCCUCGUAGUGGACCGCAUUUCUAGACGCUCCAAAGGCAUUGGAUAUAUUGAAUUUUACGAUGUCAUGUCGGUCCCUAUGGCGGUAGCCCUGUCCGGCCAACCUCUUCUUGGUCAAUCAGUGAUGGUUAAACCAUCAGAGGCUGAAAAGAAUCUCGUUCAGUCAACUGCAUCUGUGGCUGCUGGAGAUACUGACCUAAGAUGCCCGUACUCAGGUGGAGCUAGGAGGUUGUAUGUUGACAAUCUGCAUUCUAACAUCAAAGAAGAUCAACUUCGUCAGGUUUUUGAACCAUUUGGUACUGUUGAGUUGGUGCAGCUGCCUCCUGACCUGGAGACUGGGCAUAGCUGCCGCUAUGGUUUUGUGCAGUUUUCUCGCCUUGAAGAUGCUAGAGCUGCACUAAGUUUAGAUGGACAACUGGAUAUUGCAGGCCGAGUUAUGAAGGUAUCAGCUGUUACAGAUCAAACUUUAAGACAAGAAGUUGGUGCAAAUGCUGGAGAUUUUGGUGAUGAUGAGGGUGGUGGUCUGUCUCUGAGUGCUGAAUCUCUAACACUUCUCAUGCAGAAGAAGCUGGAUCAUACUAGGAUAACAUCAAGUGGUGCUGGUUCUGUUGGCAGCCAGGUUGUUGAUAACCCUGGCCUUUCUGCACCAGCAGCUCCAGUUCUUGGUGCUGCCCCUGAGGUAUCUCCUCUUGCUCCUUUUGGACAGAUUCCUGUUCCAGCACUUGCGGGAUGGCCUGCUGCAGGUCUCUCACUGCCUUCUGUUACUUUUCCUUCAAUUGAUACUAUAGGCAUUCCAAGUGAAUGUUUAUUGUUGAAGAACGUGUUUGAUCCAAAAUUAGAGUCUGAACCUGAGUUCGACCAGGAUAUUAAGGAUGAUGUUGAGGAUGAAUGUUCAAAAUUCGGAAAGUUGAAGCACAUUUAUGUGGAUAAUAAAUGUGAGUUGAAAGAUGUUCAUGGCUGCAAAUUGGUGGCGAUGCGCAUUUAGCUAACAAGUAAUCUCUUCUACCUCCUUGUUUCUAUUCAAUCUUUUUGACGAGCAGGAAAAGCGACGGGUUGGUGUACCUGCGGUUUGAGAACAAUCAAGCUGCAAUUGCUGCGCAGCGUGCACUUCAUGGUAGAUGGUUUGCUGGGAAGAUGAUCCUUGCAACGUUCAUGGUGCCGCAGAAUUACGAGGUCACGUUUCCCCAGAGCAAGUAGGGCGUGCCCAUUCAUUUAAAGAAUAGACGAAAUCUCGUGCACACUCCUGCUCGUGUUACCAGCCUUGCUGCUCUUUUUGCAUCAUUUUCUUCUGGCUACCUUCCACUUAGCUGGUGGAGUUUUGUAUCAGACAGGAACGCUAUAGCAUAGGUUGUUAUUGUAUGAUCAAAGAUAUGAACCUCAAUCAAUGUAAGUGGCGAUAAAUACAAGAUUUGUCCCAUGUAUAAAGGGAUACUUCACAUCUUCUCAUUUUAUAAUUGUAAUAUCCAUUUUCUUC